CUUCGACUUACGAAGAAGUGCUUUUAUUAGAUCAAAGCCAAUGUCGUCCUCGGGCGACUGGUUGUGGUGACUCUGAGUAAAGUAAGCUGAUUGCAUUGCUCGAAACGGGCAGGCGAUUCGUAUGUGGUGUCAGAGGUGAAUUCUAUGAUCACUCUCAAGACUAUCAGUUGCGAUAGUUGAUAUGCCUAGCAUGUUUUCAUUAAUCGGGUAACGGGGAAGUCAGGGUUCGAUUCCGGAGAGAGCGCAUUAGAUACGGUCCUAGUUCUAACUAUACACUAUGCGAACUGGGCAUCUGGCGCUUGCAAAUUACGCAAUCGCCAGGCACCUCGCGGGAGGUAGUGACGCAAAGUUACGUUGCGGUAAUCUUCGGAUUGGGGAGUAUCGGAUUGAGAACAAUCGAAAUCCUUUAUCGAGGAAUUGAUUGGAGGGGCACAGUUCUGAAGUGCCAGCAGCCUGCGGCUCAAUUUGAGCUCGAAUAGCGUAUGUUAAAUUUGCUGCGGUCUGAACAGCUCGUGAGGAUUGACAGGUGUCAGAUAGCUCUUUCUUGAUUCGGUGGGUGGUGGUGCAUGGCACAAGUUUCUUGUGCGUAUGGUGUAGUGAUUUGCUCUAGGUUUACUUCUUAUAAAUGUCACCUCUCCUGCGUCUCACAUAGCCCUAUUGGUUUUGGGUGACGCAGCAAGGGCAAGGUGUUCAAAACUAGUUUGUUGAAAAUUAGCGUGCUUAACGCAGCGCUCAAACACUUGCUUAGUAGGUACAAGUGUCGUGCAUGGCACUCGAAGUUGAGCAAUAGACCUUGGUUCUGUGAUGUCGUUGGAUGUUCGGGGCUGCACGCGCGCUACAUGAUUGAUGGCUGACAAAGGGGGCAUUCGUGUUGUCGACUGUUAGACGUGGAAUCAUAAGAUAGC
Molecule: ribosomal RNA, 905 nt
Filed under: Acanthogyrus sp. KR-2022
Lineage: Eukaryota; Metazoa; Acanthocephala; Eoacanthocephala; Gyracanthocephala; Quadrigyridae
Description: partial small subunit ribosomal RNA
Rfam family: Eukaryotic small subunit ribosomal RNA
Source: RNAcentral